This 446-nucleotide ribosomal RNA is filed under the name uncultured bacterium. RNAcentral describes it as "partial 16S ribosomal RNA". It matches the Rfam family "Bacterial small subunit ribosomal RNA", at positions 354 to 796 of the family's 1533-position model. The record is from RNAcentral.
GUGGGGAAUAUUGGACAAUGGGGGGAACCCUGAUCCAGCCAUGCCGCGUGGAGGAAGACUGCCCUCUGGGUUGUAAACUCCUUUUAUAUGGGAAGAACCGUCCUCAUUAAUGAGUGACCUGACGGUACCAUAGGAAUAAGCACCGGCUAACUCCGUGCCAGCAGCCGCGGUAAUACGGAGGGUGCAAGCGUUAUCCGGAUUCACUGGGUUUAAAGGGUGCGUAGGCGGAUAAAUAAGUCAGUGGUGAAAUCAACGGGCUCAACCUGUUAACUGCCAUUGAUACUGUGUAUCUUGAAUAUGAGAGAGGUAGGCGGAAUGUUGCAUGUAGCGGUGAAAUGCUUAGAUAUGCUACGGAACACCGAUUGCGAAGGCAGCUUACUAUUUCGUAAUUGACGCUGAGGCACGAAAGCGUGGGUAGCGAACAGGAUUAGAUACCCGAGUAGUCC